Lolium rigidum is the source of this 320-nucleotide long non-coding RNA. RefSeq lists it as uncharacterized. The record is from RefSeq and is a predicted model, not a curated record. Lineage: Eukaryota; Viridiplantae; Streptophyta; Magnoliopsida; Poales; Poaceae. The transcript is spliced from 3 exons.
GGAUAAUGCGAUUCUGCUGUGUGGGCACGAGCGUUUCUCAAUUUUCAGGUAAUCUACAUUACAUUCUAUGUUCUGCAUAUUCGGCGGCGACAAAAAACCCAACCUGAUAUGCGUGCAACAGUUUCGUGUAGCCUUGGAGAUCAGCGUUAUAUAGUAGACUGGCCAAACUCCGACGACGCAAAAGUAAGCCAACCGAGACCACACACUAUGCUCUGGCCAAGGAAAAGGUGGAUACUAUCGGGGGAAACCGCUAUAAGCUAAACAUAGCGGUCACUGAGGUUGACGAUCCAGAUAACUGGUGGUUCUAUUUGUGCGAAAUC